ACAUCCCAUCUUCCCCUCUCUCCAGUAUGAUGGUUCUGAGUCAUGUCCCACCCAGUUGUUCAGAGGGUCCCUAGAGGAAAUGAACCCAGGCUACCUUUAGCUGUGACUUACGGUUUUGAAUCUGCAGUGUCCCCUGAAUGCCCAGUGAUAAAGGCUUUGUUGACAGCUGAUGAUCUCAGGGCAGCAAUUGGAUCCUGAAGGCUCUGACCACACCAAUGGAUGAAUCCCUUGAUGGAUUUGUGAUGAGGUUCCUCCUCCCAGAUGUGCCUCACUAUCUGCCCACAAUGGAACACCCAACUACUGAUGGAAACCUCAAAAACCAAAAUAAAUCUUUCCUCUUUUCAA
Arvicanthis niloticus (Nile rat) is the source of this 345-nucleotide non-coding RNA. Lineage: Eukaryota; Metazoa; Chordata; Mammalia; Rodentia; Muridae. The record is from RefSeq and is a predicted model, not a curated record.